AUUUAUAUAGUUUAUAAAAACAUUGUAAUUUCAGUACAAAGAAAGAUUUUAUCUUAUAAAUA
RNAcentral lists this transfer RNA (62 nucleotides) under Maladera orientalis. RNAcentral's name for it is "tRNA-Glu". The record is from RNAcentral. Lineage: Eukaryota; Metazoa; Arthropoda; Insecta; Coleoptera; Scarabaeidae.